RNAcentral lists this ribosomal RNA (245 nucleotides) under uncultured Conexibacter sp. RNAcentral describes it as "partial 16S ribosomal RNA". It matches the Rfam family "Bacterial small subunit ribosomal RNA", at positions 524 to 768 of the family's 1533-position model. The record is from RNAcentral. Lineage: Bacteria; Bacillati; Actinomycetota; Thermoleophilia; Solirubrobacterales; Conexibacteraceae.
UACGUAGGGGGCAAGCGUUGUCCGGAAUCAUUGGGCGUAAAGCGCGUGUAGGCGGCUUGGUCAGUCAGCUGUGAAAGUCCAGGGCUCAACCCUGGGAUGCCGGUUGAUACUGCCAAGCUCGAGUCCGGAAGAGGAGUGUGGAAUUCCUGGUGUAGCGGUGAAAUGCGCAGAUAUCAGGAGGAACACCAAUGGCGAAGGCAGCACUCUGGGACGUGACUGACGCUGAGACGCGAAAGCGUGGGGAG